CUUGUACCGACUGGAUGAGCAGCGAACGGGUGAGUAACGCGUGGGGAAUCUGCCUUUGAGCGGGGGACAACAUUUGGAAACGAAUGCUAAUACCGCAUAAAAACUUUAAACACAAGUUUUAAGUUUGAAAGAUGCAAUUGCAUCACUCAAAGAUGAUCCCGCGUUGUAUUAGCUAGUUGGUGAGGUAAAGGCUCACCAAGGCGAUGAUACAUAGCCGACCUGAGAGGGUGAUCGGCCACAUUGGGACUGAGACACGGCCCAAACUCCUACGGGAGGCAGCAGUAGGGAAUCUUCGGCAAUGGACGAAAGUCUGACCGAGCAACGCCGCGUGAGUGAAGAAGGUUUUCGGAUCGUAAAACUCUGUUGGUAGAGAAGAACGUUGGUGAGAGUGGAAAGCUCAUCAAGUGACGGUAACUACCCAGAAAGGGACGGCUAACUACGUGCCAGCAGCCGCGGUAAUACGUAGGUCCCGAGCGUUGUCCGGAUUUAUUGGGCGUAAAGCGAGCGCAGGUGGUUUAUUAAGUCUGGUGUAAAAGGCAGUGGCUCAACCAUUGUAUGCAUUGGAAACUGGUAGACUUGAGUGCAGGAGAGGAGAGUGGAAUUCCAUGUGUAGCGGUGUG
Molecule: ribosomal RNA, 620 nt
Filed under: Lactococcus lactis
Lineage: Bacteria; Bacillati; Bacillota; Bacilli; Lactobacillales; Streptococcaceae
Description: bacterial SSU rRNA
Rfam family: Bacterial small subunit ribosomal RNA
Source: RNAcentral